UAGAGUUUGAUCCUGGCUCAGAUUGAACGCUGGCGGCAUGCCUAACACAUGCAAGUCGAACGGUAACAGGAGAGAGCUUGCUCUCUUGCUGACGAGUGGCGGACGGGUGAGUAAUGCAUAGGAAUCUGCCCAGUAGUGGGGGACAACUCGGGGAAACUCGAGCUAAUACCGCAUACGCCCUACGGGGGAAAGCGGGGGAUCUUCGGACCUCGCGCUAUUGGAUGAGCCUAUGUCAGAUUAGCUUGUUGGUGGGGUAACGGCCUACCAAGGCGACGAUCUGUAGCUGGUCUGAGAGGACGAUCAGCCACACUGGGACUGAGACACGGUCCAGACUCCUACGGGAGGCAGCAGUGGGGAAUAUUGCACAAUGGAGGAAACUCUGAUGCAGCAACGCCGCGUGGAGGAUGACGCAUUUCGGUGUGUAAACUCCUUUUAUAUGGGAAGAUAAUGACGGUACCAUAUGAAUAAGCACCGGCUAACUCCGUGCCAGCAGCCGCGGUAAUACGGAGGGUGCAAGCGUUACUCGGAAUCACUGGGCGUAAAGCGCGCGCAGGCGGUCUUUUAAGUUGGAUGUGAAAGCCUAUGGCUCAACCAUAGAACUGCAUCCAAAACUAUUAGACUAGAGUCUGGGAGGGGAAGAUGGAAUUAGUUGUGUAGGGGUAAAAUCCGUAGAGAUAACUAGGAAUACCAAAAGCGAAGGCGAUCUUCUGGAACAGUACUGACGCUGAGGCGCGAAAGCGUGGGGAGCAAACAGGAUUAGAUACCCUGGUAGUCCACGCCCUAAACGAUGAAUGUUAGUCGUUGGGGGGCUUGUCCCCUCAGUGAUGCAGCUAACGCAUUAAACAUUCCGCCUGGGGAGUACGGUCGCAAGAUUAAAACUCAAAGGAAUAGACGGGGACCCGCACAAGUGGUGGAGCAUGUGGUUUAAUUCGAAGAUACGCGAAGAACCUUACCUGGCCUUGACAUUGAUGGAACCUGCUAGAGAUAGCGGGGUGCCCUUCGGGGAGCCUGAAAACAGGUGCUGCACGGCUGUCGUCAGCUCGUGUCGUGAGAUGUUGGGUUAAGUCCCGUAACGAGCGCAACCCCUAUCCCUAUUUGCCAGCACGUAAAGGUGGGAACUUUAGGGAGACUGCCGGUGACAAACCGGAGGAAGGUGGGGAUGACGUCAAGUCAUCAUGGCCCUUAUGGGCAGGGCUACACACGUGCUACAAUGGUCGGUACAGAGGGUCGCGAAGCUGUGAGGUGGAGCUAAUCUCAGAAAACCGGUCGUAGUCCGGAUCGGAGUCUGCAACUCGACUCCGUGAAGUCGGAAUCGCUAGUAAUCGCGGAUCAGAAUGCCGCGGUGAAUACGUUCCCGGGCCUUGUACACACCGCCCGUCACACCAUGGGAGUUGGCUGCACCAGAAGUAGAUUGCCCGACCUUCGGGGGGGCGUUUACCACGGUGUGGUUAAUGACUGGGGUGAAGUCGUAACAAGGUAACCA
RNAcentral lists this ribosomal RNA (1483 nucleotides) under uncultured bacterium. RNAcentral describes it as "bacterial SSU rRNA". It matches the Rfam family "Bacterial small subunit ribosomal RNA". The record is from RNAcentral.